UACGUAGGGGGCAAGCGUUGUCCGGAAUCAUUGGGCGUAAAGAGCGUGUAGGCGGUUCGGUAAGUCGGUUGUGAAAGCCCAGGGCUCAACCCUGGGAUGCCGACCGAUACUGUCGGACUAGAGUUCGGAAGAGGCGAGUGGAAUUCCCGGUGUAGCGGUGAAAUGCGCAGAUAUCGGGAGGAACACCUAUGGCGAAGGCAGCUCGCUGGGACGUUACUGACGCUGAGACGCGAAAGCCAGGGGAGCAAACGGG
This 253-nucleotide ribosomal RNA is filed under the name uncultured bacterium. RNAcentral's name for it is "partial 16S ribosomal RNA". It matches the Rfam family "Bacterial small subunit ribosomal RNA", at positions 524 to 776 of the family's 1533-position model. The record is from RNAcentral.